Arabidopsis thaliana (thale cress) is the source of this 252-nucleotide long non-coding RNA. RefSeq annotates it as other RNA. Lineage: Eukaryota; Viridiplantae; Streptophyta; Magnoliopsida; Brassicales; Brassicaceae. The transcript has a single exon. The record is from RefSeq.
ACAUUGUGCAUUGGGGAUGUUGAAAAAAUGAAGAUUCCAAAAAUAAAAAUCUUCCUCAUUUAUUGAUGCGGAGCAGAAGCUAUAAAACAAUAGUGGCGAUGAAGAGAUGUUUUGAAAGCUUAAUAGAGAGAAGCGUGAUGAAGACGUGGGCUCUGUUUCACGAAUGGAGAGAGAGAACACGAGAACCACGGAACAAAACGAAGAAAAUUGCAAAUGGAAUAAGGUGAGAGUCCUCCUUAAGGUCCUACACAA